AGAGACAGCAGUAGCCGCGGUAAUACGUAGGUGGCAAGCGUUGUCCGGAAUUAUUGGGCAUAAAGGGCUCGCAGGCGGUUUCUUAAGUCUGAUGUGAAAGCCCCCGGCUCAACCGGGGAGGGUCAUUGGAAACUGGGAAACUUGAGUGCAGAAGAGGAGAGUGGAAUUCCACGUGUAGCGGUGAAAUGCGUAGAGAUGUGGAGGAACACCAGUGGCGAAGGCGACUCUCUGGUCUGUAACUGACGCUGAGGAGCGAAAGCGUGGGGAGCGAACAGGAUUAGAUACCCCAGUAGUCCCUGUCUCUUAUAC
Molecule: ribosomal RNA, 309 nt
Filed under: uncultured bacterium
Lineage: Bacteria
Description: partial 16S ribosomal RNA
Rfam family: Bacterial small subunit ribosomal RNA
Source: RNAcentral